RNAcentral lists this ribosomal RNA (776 nucleotides) under Agromyces sp. RNAcentral describes it as "bacterial SSU rRNA". It matches the Rfam family "Bacterial small subunit ribosomal RNA", at positions 89 to 874 of the family's 1533-position model. Lineage: Bacteria; Bacillati; Actinomycetota; Actinomycetes; Micrococcales; Microbacteriaceae. The record is from RNAcentral.
GGAUUAGUGGCGAACGGGUGAGUAACACGUGAGUAACCUGCCCUGGACUCUGGGAUAACCCCGAGAAAUCGGAGCUAAUACCGGAUAGGACCUUUCCUCGCAUGAGGUUUGGUGGAAAGUUUUUCGGUCUGGGAUGGACUCGCGGCCUAUCAGCUUGUUGGUGAGGUAAUGGCUCACCAAGGCGUCGACGGGUAGCCGGCCUGAGAGGGUGACCGGCCACACUGGGACUGAGACACGGCCCAGACUCCUACGGGAGGCAGCAGUGGGGAAUAUUGCACAAUGGGCGCAAGCCUGAUGCAGCAACGCCGCGUGCGGGAUGACGGCCUUCGGGUUGUAAACCGCUUUUAGUAGGGAAGAAGGGCUUCGGCUUGACGGUACCUGCAGAAAAAGGACCGGCUAACUACGUGCCAGCAGCCGCGGUAAUACGUAGGGUCCGAGCGUUGUCCGGAAUUAUUGGGCGUAAAGAGCUCGUAGGCGGUUUGUCGCGUCUGCUGUGAAAACUAGAGGCUCAACCUCUAGCCUGCAGUGGGUACGGGCAGACUUGAGUGGUGUAGGGGAGACUGGAAUUCCUGGUGUAGCGGUGGAAUGCGCAGAUAUCAGGAGGAACACCGAUGGCGAAGGCAGGUCUCUGGGCACUUACUGACGCUGAGGAGCGAAAGCGUGGGGAGCGAACAGGAUUAGAUACCCUGGUAGUCCACGCCGUAAACGUUGGGCGCUAGAUGUGGGGACCUUUCCACGGUUUCCGUGUCGUAGCUAACGCAUUAAGCGCCCCGCCU